GAUGAACGCUGGCGGCGUGCUUAACACAUGCAAGUCGAACGGGAAACCUUUUAUUGAAGCUUCGGCAGAUUUAGCUGGUUUCUAGUGGCGGACGGGUGAGUAACGCGUGGGUAACCUGCCUUAUACAGGGGGAUAACAACCAGAAAUGGUUGCUAAUACCGCAUAAGCGCACAGGACCGCAUGGUCCGGUGUGAAAAACUCCGGUGGUAUAAGAUGGACCCGCGUUGGAUUAGCUAGUUGGCAGGGUAACGGCCUACCAAGGCGACGAUCCAUAGCCGGCCUGCGAGGGUGAACGGCCACAUUGGGACUGAGACACGGCCCAGACUCCUACGGGAGGCAGCAGUGGGGAAUAUUGCACAAUGGGGGAAACCCUGAUGCAGCGACGCCGCGUGAAGGAAGAAGUAUCUCGGUAUGUAAACUUCUAUCAGCAGGGAAGAUAGUGACGGUACCUGACUAAGAAGCCCCGGCUAACUACGUG
This 478-nucleotide ribosomal RNA is filed under the name uncultured bacterium. RNAcentral describes it as "partial 16S ribosomal RNA". It matches the Rfam family "Bacterial small subunit ribosomal RNA", at positions 28 to 507 of the family's 1533-position model. The record is from RNAcentral.